RNAcentral lists this long non-coding RNA (374 nucleotides) under Pan troglodytes (chimpanzee). RNAcentral describes it as "long non-coding RNA NONPTRT006722". Lineage: Eukaryota; Metazoa; Chordata; Mammalia; Primates; Hominidae. The record is from RNAcentral.
CUGUCCGGAGCUGGUACAGCAGCUAAGGGAAAAAAAUUUUGAUGAAUUUUCUAAGCACCUUAAGGGCCUUGUUAAUCUGUAUAACCUACCAGGGGACAACAAACUGAAGACUAAAAUGUACUUGGCUCUCCAAUCCUUAGAACAAGAUCUUUCUAAAAUGGCAAUUAUGUACUGGUCAUUUAAUGAACCUGAAGUACUAUGUCUCUCCUUCUGACCUGCUGGAUGACAAGACUGCAUCUCCCAUCAUUUUGCAUGAGAAUAAUGUUUCUCGAUCUUUGGGCAUGAAUGCAUCAGUGACAAUUGAAGGAACAUCUGCUGUGUACAAACUCCCAAUUGCACCAUUAAUUAUGGGGUCACAUCCAGUUGACAAUAAA